Molecule: long non-coding RNA, 598 nt
Organism: Olea europaea var. sylvestris
Lineage: Eukaryota; Viridiplantae; Streptophyta; Magnoliopsida; Lamiales; Oleaceae
Exons: 2
Source: RefSeq, a predicted model, not a curated record
CCAUUCCAACAAAUUUCCCAAUCCCUAAUCAUUUUAACAUAUCCCUUCUCUCUGUAUAUCUCUUCAUUCUCUAUCUAUAUCUCUCCAUUCUCUUCUCUCUCUUAACCACACACUACCAUCGAAGCGCCAUCAUCACUAGGCUCAAGACGCCUUCGGCCGGUCAACAUCUCCGAUCUGCGAUCACCGAAGGAAAAAGGAAAGAAGCACCAACAUGCAAUGUGUAGUCUUCGAUUUGCAGGAAAAAGGCACCUCGGGCGGUGCUGCACGCAACACGUGAAAAAAAUGUGUACUACAGGGACUCCAAUGCAAGACUUGUGGUAAACUCCCAGAGGGUCAUUUUUUCUAGUAUGCACAUCAUAAUAAGCAACUAACUAUUCAAGCUAGACACCUUCCUGAUGACAAAGGCCUGGUGAAAUUGAAGUAAAGCUUUGGAUGUAGAGUUGCUGUGGUCAAUGUAGUCAUAGACGUCCUAUGUUAUUCUAUUGAUAAUAAAUUAUUUUGAUUUCAAGGAUUUGGUUGUAAUGUAUCGACUUAAAUAGCAUCACAUAUCUAUUCACUCUUUGUCAUAUGCAGACAAUAAAAUUUCAAAUUUGGUCGA